GGCCCUACGGGGUGCAGCAGGCGCGAAAACUUUACAAUGCUGGGAACAGCGAUAAGGGAACCUCGAGUGCCAGGUUACAAAUCUGGCUGUCGUGAUGCCUAAAAAGCAUUAUAUAGCAAGGGCCGGGCAAGACCGGUGCCAGCCGCCGCGGUAACGCCGGCGGCUCGAGUGGUAACCGUUAUUAUUGGGUCUAAAGGGUCUGUAGCCGGCCGGAUAAGUCUCUUGGGAAAUCUGGCAGCUCAACUGUCAGGCUUUCAGGGGAUACUGUCUGGCUCGAGGCCGGGAGAGGUGAGAGGUACUUCAGGGGUAGGGGUGAAAUCUUGUAAUCCUUGAAGGACCACCAGUGGCGAAGGCGUCUCACCAGAACGGACCUGACGGCAAGGGACGAAAGCUAGGGGCACGAACCGGAUUAGAUACCCGGGUAGUCCUAGCCGUAAACGAUACUCGCUAGGUGUCGGCCACGGUGCGACCGUUGUCGGUGCCGUAGGGAAGCCGUGAAGCGAGCCACCUGGGAAGUACGGCCGCAAGGCUGAAACUUAAAGGAAUUGGCGGGGGAGCACCACAACGGGUGGAGCUUGCGGUUUAAUUGGAUUCAACGCCGGAAAUCUUA
RNAcentral lists this ribosomal RNA (610 nucleotides) under uncultured archaeon. RNAcentral's name for it is "bacterial SSU rRNA". It matches the Rfam family "Archaeal small subunit ribosomal RNA", at positions 319 to 929 of the family's 1478-position model. The record is from RNAcentral.